AAACAUUGAGGACGGAACGGGCAGCCGUCGCCUUUAUUUGGAGAUGCAGGGAACGUCAUCCUGCCAAUGUUU
RNAcentral lists this non-coding RNA (72 nucleotides) under unclassified sequences. RNAcentral's name for it is "skipping-rope RNA". It matches the Rfam family "skipping-rope RNA". From Rfam's summary of the family: Firmicutes, Fusobacteria, AlphaProteobacteria, Spirochaetes. Downstream gene The record is from Rfam by way of RNAcentral.